UGGAGAAUAUUGGACAAUGGGGGAAACCCUGAUCCAGCAAUGCCGCGUGAGUGAAGAAGGCCUUAGGGUUGUAAAGCUCUUUCGCCCGCGAAGAUAAUGACGGUAGCGGGAGAAGAAGCCCCGGCUAACUCCGUGCCAGCAGCCGCGGUAAUACGGAGGGGGCUAGCGUUGUUCGGAAUUACUGGGCGUAAAGCGUACGUAGGCGGAUGCGCAAGUUGGGGGUGAAAUCCCGGGGCUUAACCUCGGAAUUGCCCUCAAAACUGCACGUCUUGAGACCGAGAGAGGUAAGGGGAAUUCCUAGUGUAGAGGUGAAAUUCGUAGAUAUUAGGAAGAACACCAGUGGCGAAGGCGCCUUACUGGCUCGGUACUGACGCUGAGGUACGAAAGCGUGGGGAGCAAACA
This 402-nucleotide ribosomal RNA is filed under the name uncultured bacterium. RNAcentral describes it as "bacterial SSU rRNA". It matches the Rfam family "Bacterial small subunit ribosomal RNA", at positions 355 to 774 of the family's 1533-position model. The record is from RNAcentral.